UGGGGGAAUAUUGGACAAUGGGCGAAAGCCUGAUCCAGCCUGCCGCGUGUGUGAAGAAGGUCUUCGGAUUGUAAAGCACUUUAAGUUGGGAGGAAGGGCAGUAAGCUAAUACCUUGCUGUUUUGACGUUACCGACAGAAUAAGCACCGGCUAACUCUGUG
RNAcentral lists this ribosomal RNA (160 nucleotides) under bacterium enrichment culture. RNAcentral's name for it is "partial 16S ribosomal RNA". It matches the Rfam family "Bacterial small subunit ribosomal RNA", at positions 354 to 507 of the family's 1533-position model. The record is from RNAcentral.